This 588-nucleotide unclassified non-coding RNA is filed under the name Hevea brasiliensis (rubber tree). The record is from RNAcentral. Lineage: Eukaryota; Viridiplantae; Streptophyta; Magnoliopsida; Malpighiales; Euphorbiaceae.
GCUAAUAUACAUUCAGACCAAAAGGUUUUUAGCAGAUUGGCUUGAAGUCUUAUUGCCCUUGCUGUGUCAAGUAAGUAUUUAUGUUUUCUCUCCACCACCCCAUUCUGUUGGGGUGUAUAAGGACAAGUUCUUUGAUGGGAAAUACCUUUAUCAGACAAUAAUUGAGAAAAAGCUUGACUUAAAAACUCUGCUCCAUUAUCAGUUCUAACUGUCUUAAUUGUAACCCCAAAUUGGUUCUGAAUAGAAUGGACAAAUUUUGAGAAAAUACCAAGACUUUGAGAUUUAUGUUGCAACAUAAAGGUCCAAGUGGCUCUAGAAUAAUCAUCUACUAUGGUAAGGAAAAAUUUGGCUACUGUGAUAGAGGUGAUAGGAUAAGGUCGCCAAAGAUCUACAUGAAUAAGAUCGAAAGGAUGGGUGGAUAUUGAGUCACUAUCUGGAAAAGGAAGUCUAUGAUCCUUUGCUAAAGGACAAAUGAGACAACUGAAUUUAUCGUUAUUUGUAAAUGACAUUCCAGGUAAAUGAGACAUUUUACCAAAAGAAACAUGACCUAAUCUAGCAUGUAUGACAGAAAUAUUUUGUGUUGACAUA